This 45-nucleotide non-coding RNA is filed under the name Schistosoma mansoni. The record is from RNAcentral. Lineage: Eukaryota; Metazoa; Platyhelminthes; Trematoda; Strigeidida; Schistosomatidae.
AUCCAGCUGACCAGUCCCAAAUAGGACAGAUCGCGUGUCCUGGAU